RNAcentral lists this transfer RNA (73 nucleotides) under Thermochaetoides thermophila DSM 1495. RNAcentral's name for it is "Chaetomium thermophilum var. thermophilum DSM 1495 tRNA-Arg". It matches the Rfam family "tRNA". From Rfam's summary of the family: Transfer RNA (tRNA) molecules are approximately 80 nucleotides in length. Their secondary structure includes four short double-helical elements and three loops (D, anti-codon, and T loops). The record is from RNAcentral. Lineage: Eukaryota; Fungi; Ascomycota; Sordariomycetes; Sordariales; Chaetomiaceae.
GGCAUCUUGGCCUAAUUGGCAAGGCAUAGUAUUACGGCUACUGGGUAUGUGAGUUCGAAUCUCGCAGGUGCCU